UACGUAGGGUCCAAGCGUUAAUCGGAAUUACUGGGCGUAAAGCGUGCGUAGGCGGUCUCGCAAGUCCGAUGUGAAAUCCCCGGGCUUAACCUGGGAACUGCGUUGGAAACUAUGAGACUAGAGUGCGGCAGAGGGGGGUGGAAUUCCAGGUGUAGCAGUGAAAUGCGUAGAUAUCUGGAGGAACACCGAUGGCGAAGGCAGCCCCCUGGGCCAGCACUGACGCUCAUACACGAAAGCGUGGGGAGCAAACAGG
RNAcentral lists this ribosomal RNA (253 nucleotides) under uncultured bacterium. Its description in RNAcentral is "partial 16S ribosomal RNA". It matches the Rfam family "Bacterial small subunit ribosomal RNA", at positions 524 to 776 of the family's 1533-position model. The record is from RNAcentral.